This 77-nucleotide transfer RNA is filed under the name Candidatus Pacearchaeota archaeon CG06_land_8_20_14_3_00_35_12. RNAcentral's name for it is "tRNA-Arg". It matches the Rfam family "tRNA". Rfam says of the family: Transfer RNA (tRNA) molecules are approximately 80 nucleotides in length. Their secondary structure includes four short double-helical elements and three loops (D, anti-codon, and T loops). Further hydrogen bonds mediate the characteristic L-shaped molecular structure. tRNAs have two regions of fundamental functional importance: the anti-codon, which is responsible for specific mRNA codon recognition, and the 3' end, to which the tRNAs corresponding amino acid is attached (by aminoacyl-tRNA synthetases). tRNAs cope with the degeneracy of the genetic code in two manners: having more than one tRNA (with a specific anti-codon) for a particular amino acid; and 'wobble' base-pairing, i.e. permitting non-standard base-pairing at the 3rd anti-codon position. Lineage: Archaea; Nanobdellati. The record is from RNAcentral.
GGGCCUGUAGCUCAGCCUGGAAUCAGAGCAGAGGCAUCCUAAGCCUAAGGUCACAGGUUCAAAUCCUGUCAGGCCCG